This 234-nucleotide long non-coding RNA is filed under the name Elaeis guineensis (African oil palm). RNAcentral's name for it is "long non-coding RNA (EGUI_LNC023649)". The record is from RNAcentral. Lineage: Eukaryota; Viridiplantae; Streptophyta; Magnoliopsida; Arecales; Arecaceae.
AGAAUACUCUAAUAAGGCUCUUCGUAGUCCCGUAGAUAACCCACCGAGAUGUUUCCAAUUAGUACUUUGCGUACCCCAACGUAUAUUCGGAUGCGUGCUCAUUUCCGUUUUGCGUGCCACCCAUGGGAAUACGUGAGUCAUUUUAUUUCCAUGGUUACACACUUGGGUACGCAAAGUUUUGUUUUCCAGUAAUGUAUGACAGAAGAAAAUAGAUUAAUCGCAGCAACCACGCCA